CCCACCCUUAGAUAGUUAGUUAGAUCGUUGAGCUUGCGGAGGCGAGUCAGAUAGAAGUUGGUCGAGUCAAGAGUCGUGGUCAGGUUUCCACUUAGAUCCAUCCUUGGAGAAAACUAGUCGGAUCGAGAUCAAUAGGCGGGAAAGGGUAGAUGUCGUUUUCUCGACGUUAAGGCCAAGGUAACCGUAGUUGAGAGUCCUUUUGGGAAAGCAUGGACGCUGCACACCGGUGUAGAGUUUGUUGCCUUUGCAAAAAAAUAUUUGGAAUAUUUAUUGUAUAACUCGAUUUGGGCAUUAGGCCUUGGCGCCAAACGCGUAUGUAAUUUAAGGUAU
Camelina sativa (false flax) is the source of this 330-nucleotide non-coding RNA. Lineage: Eukaryota; Viridiplantae; Streptophyta; Magnoliopsida; Brassicales; Brassicaceae. The record is from RefSeq and is a predicted model, not a curated record.